RNAcentral lists this non-coding RNA (29 nucleotides) under Homo sapiens (human). Lineage: Eukaryota; Metazoa; Chordata; Mammalia; Primates; Hominidae. The record is from RNAcentral.
UUCCUGAAUUCCAGCCCAGCCAUGGCCCA